CACGAAUUCACGUGAGUUAAUUACACCAACAUUUUAUGUAGCAAAAUAUAUAUAUUGAGGUUUAAUUAGGGGUGACAGGCUUAUCAAAUCGGAUGAUAUCUUGAUGUGAGUGACAGAAAUCGAGUUUUUUGGUUAAUUAUAUAGCAAUAAGGUUAUAUAAUAAAUUGAAGAUUUGUUACUUUGUGAAGCAGGUGUAAAAACCCGCAUUACAACAAAGAGAAUAUAUAUUUAAUAAGAUUUAUUAAAUUAGCUUACAAAAAAAUAACCUUAAAAUUUUAAUAAAAUGUUAAUAUAAGUACUUAAUAGGUGUUAAUAGUGAACUCGGCAAGAAAGCUUUCAACUGUUUAUCAAAAACAUAACCAUAUGCCUUACAUAUGGCGUAUUCUGCUCAAUGACAUGUUAAAUAGCCGCAGUACCCUGACUGUGCAAAGGUAGCGUAAUCAUUUGUCUCUUAAUUGGAGUCCUGUAUGAAAGAAUGUAUGGGGGCUUACUUUACCAUUAAUAUAUUUCGAAGUUACUUAAAAGGUGCAAAAACCUUUAGAUAAAUAAAAGACGAGAAGACCCUUGAAAUUUGCAUAGAAGUUUUGUUGGGGCAACAAAGUAGUUUAAACCUACUUCAUAUACACGAAAUGUACUAGUUAGAAUAAAUUACUCUAGGGAUAACAGCAUAAUUCAUUAUGAGUUUGUGACCUCGAUGUUGGAUUAGGAUACUGCAGACUAGAA
RNAcentral lists this ribosomal RNA (723 nucleotides) under Torresitrachia brookei. RNAcentral's name for it is "partial 16S ribosomal RNA". The stretch from base 301 to 539 matches the Rfam family "Archaeal large subunit ribosomal RNA", at positions 1786 to 2143 of the family's 2987-position model. Lineage: Eukaryota; Metazoa; Mollusca; Gastropoda; Stylommatophora; Camaenidae. The record is from RNAcentral.